CAGCAAGCUGAAAUGAUUCCACAGAGUGCCAGCUGCAGACUGGGUGCCUAUGACGACUGCAUUGAAUAUUAUGUGUGCCUCAAGGGACAUGUUCUUGGAAUAUGCACUCUCUUACCAUUGUCUGAUUCCGAGGAGGUUUCUGAGCUGGAGUGAGUCAGAAUACAUGCAGGCUUGGAUUGUUUCUUGUGGAGUGAGCAAAUGUGGAUGAGAAGGGAUAGGCUAAUCCUAUAUUGCCCUGAAGCUGUAACCAACCCUCACAAUUCUCUUCUAGACUUCAACGACAUUGCUUCCUGUUCUUGCUCAGGUCAGUUGUUUCAUAGAGAAGGGCUGGAGGCUGUUGCUGACGAGCUUAUCAUCUGUUACUUACUGUGAGCGUGUAAUACUGUGUGUUUUUUAUGUAUGCCGAUAUUUGUACUUUCAUGGCAGAUUGGUAAUUGCAAUAAUUCACAGACCCCUGUUGUCUAUGAUCGAUCAGUUGCUUUACCCUUAGAUUUUCUAUGAAAAUCUUGAUACAAAUUAGAAGGUUCAACCUCCUGUAUGCCCUCUGCGGAGGAUUAUAUUCUGCUUCCAUGGCAUAAUUUAUAUUGGUUCCAGUGAAGGAUGGAGUUCGUGUGUACA
Long non-coding RNA from Populus euphratica (Euphrates poplar), 618 nucleotides. RefSeq lists it as uncharacterized. The transcript is spliced from 2 exons. NCBI's taxonomy places the organism in Eukaryota, Viridiplantae, Streptophyta, Magnoliopsida, Malpighiales, Salicaceae. The record is from RefSeq and is a predicted model, not a curated record.